GACGAACGCUGGCGGCGUGCUUAACACAUGCAAGUCGAACGCUGAAGCUUGGUGCUUGCACUGGGUGGAUGAGUGGCGAACGGGUGAGUAAUAAGUGAGUAACCUGCCCUUGACUCUGGGAUAAGCCUGGGAAACUGGGUCUAAUACUGGAUACGACAUGUCACCGCAUGGUGGUGUGUGGAAAGGGGUUUACUGGUUUUGGAUGGGCUCACGGCCUAUCAGCUUGUUGGUGGGGUAAUGGCUCACCAAGGCGACGACGGGUAGCCGGCCUGAGAGGGUGACCGGCCACACUGGGACUGAGACACGGCCCAGACUCCUACGGGAGGCAGCAGUGGGGAAUAUUGCACAAUGGGCGGAAGCCUGAUGCAGCGACGCCGCGUGAGGGAUGACGGCCUUCGGGUUGUAAACCUCUUUCAGCACGGAAGAAGCGAAAGUGACGGUACGUGCAGAAGAAGCGCCGGCUAACUACGUG
Molecule: ribosomal RNA, 472 nt
Filed under: uncultured bacterium
Lineage: Bacteria
Description: partial 16S ribosomal RNA
Rfam family: Bacterial small subunit ribosomal RNA
Source: RNAcentral